RNAcentral lists this ribosomal RNA (252 nucleotides) under uncultured bacterium. RNAcentral describes it as "partial 16S ribosomal RNA". It matches the Rfam family "Bacterial small subunit ribosomal RNA", at positions 524 to 775 of the family's 1533-position model. The record is from RNAcentral.
UACAGAGGGUGCAAGCGUUAAUCGGAUUUACUGGGCGUAAAGCGCGCGUAGGCGGCUAAUUAAGUCAAAUGUGAAAUCCCCGAGCUUAACUUGGGAAUUGCAUUCGAUACUGGUUAGCUAGAGUGUGGGAGAGGAUGGUAGAAUUCCAGGUGUAGCGGUGAAAUGCGUAGAGAUCUGGAGGAAUACCGAUGGCGAAGGCAGCCAUCUGGCCUAACACUGACGCUGAGGUGCGAAAGCAUGGGGAGCAACAGG